UACGAAGGGGGCUAGCGUUGCUCGGAAUCACUGGGCGUAAAGGGUGCGUAGGCGGGUCUUAAGUCAGGGGUGAAAUCCUGGAGCUCAACUCCAGAACUGCCUUUGAUACUGAAGAUCUUGAGUUCGGGAGAGGUGAGUGGAACUGCGAGUGUAGAGGUGAAAUUCGUAGAUAUCGCAAGAACACCAGUGGCGAAGGCGGCUCACUGGCCCGAUACUGACGCUGAGGCAC
This 229-nucleotide ribosomal RNA is filed under the name uncultured bacterium. RNAcentral's name for it is "partial 16S ribosomal RNA". It matches the Rfam family "Bacterial small subunit ribosomal RNA", at positions 524 to 754 of the family's 1533-position model. The record is from RNAcentral.